RNAcentral lists this ribosomal RNA (1056 nucleotides) under Graptopsaltria nigrofuscata. RNAcentral describes it as "SSU rRNA". It matches the Rfam family "Eukaryotic small subunit ribosomal RNA", at positions 42 to 998 of the family's 1831-position model. Lineage: Eukaryota; Metazoa; Arthropoda; Insecta; Hemiptera; Cicadidae. The record is from RNAcentral.
GAUAGCCAUGCAGUCUCAGUACAUGCCGCACUAAGGUGAAACCGCAAAAGGCUCAUUAAAUCAGUUAUGGUUCCUUGGAUCUUAAACAGUUACUUGGAUAACUGUGGUAAUUCUAGAGCUAAUACAUGCAAACAAGUCCCGACCAGAGAUGGGAGGGACGCUUUUAUUAGAUCAAAACCGAUCGGCGUCCGGCUCCGGCCGGCGCCGUCUCUUUUGGUGACUCUGGAUAACUUUUAGCCGAUCGCACGGUCACAGUACCGGCGACGCAUCUUUCAAAUGUCUGACUUAUCAACUGUCGAUGGUAGGCUCUGCGCCUACCAUGGUUGUAACGGGUAACGGGGAAUCAGGGUUCGAUUCCGGAGAGGGAGCCUGAGAAACGGCUACCACAUCCAAGGAAGGCAGCAGGCGCGCAAAUUACCCACUCCCGGCACGGGGAGGUAGUGACGAAAAAUAACGAUACGGGACUCAUCCGAGGCCCCGUAAUCGGAAUGAGUACACUUUAAAUACUUUAACGAGUACCAAUUGGAGGGCAAGUCUGGUGCCAGCAGCCGCGGUAAUUCCAGCUCCAAUAGCGUAUAUUAAAGUUGUUGCGGUUAAAAAGCUCGUAGUUGGAUCUGUGUGCCACGCUGUCGGUUCACCGCCUGUCGGUGUCAACUGGCAUGUCUGUGGGACGUCCUGCCGGUGGCGGUACGGGCUGCCGGCGCUGCGUAGGGGCUCGUCCCCGAAGCACGCCGGCGUGUCCCGGUCCGCCGAUCCAAUCCCGCCGCGGUGCUCUUCACUGAGUGUCGAGGUGGGCCGGCACGUUUACUUUGAACAAAUUAGAGUGCUCAAAUCAGGUCGUAUUUAGGCCUGAAUACUGUGUGCAUGGAAUAAUGGAAUAGGACCUCGGUUCUAUUUUGUUGGUUUUUUGGAAUCAGAGGUAAUGAUUAAUAGGGACAGUCGGGGGCAUUCGUAUUGCGACGUUAGAGGUGAAAUUCUUGGAUCGUCGCAAGACGAACCUAAGCGAAAGCAUUUGCCAAGUAUGUUUCCGUUAAUCAAGAACGAAAGUUAGAGGUU